Molecule: ribosomal RNA, 444 nt
Filed under: uncultured bacterium
Lineage: Bacteria
Description: partial 16S ribosomal RNA
Rfam family: Bacterial small subunit ribosomal RNA
Source: RNAcentral
CCUACGGGGGGCAGCAGUGGGGAAUAUUGGGCAAUGGGCGCAAGCCUGACCCAGCAACGCCGCGUGAAGGAAGAAGGCUUUCGGGUUGUAAACUUCUUUUGUCAGGGACGAAGCAAGUGACGGUACCUGACGAAUAAGCCACGGCUAACUACGUGCCAGCAGCCGCGGUAAUACGGGGGAUGCAAGCGUUAUCCGGAUUUAUUGGGUUUAAAGGGUGCGUAGGCUGUGAGGUAAGUCAGCGGUGAAAUGCCCCCGCUCAACGGGGUGAAGUGCCAUUGAUACUGCCUUGCUGGAAUGCGGAUGCCGUGGGAGGAAUGUGUGGUGUAGCGGUGAAAUGCAUAGAUAUCACACAGAACACCGAUUGCGAAGGCAUCUCACGAAUCCGCGAUUGACGCUGAUGCACGAAAGCGUGGGUAUCAAACAGGAUUAGAUACCCUUGUAGUC